GAUGAACGCUGGCGGCGUGCCUAAUACAUGCAAGUCGAACGCUUCACUUCGGUGAAGAGUGGCGAACGGGUGAGUAAUACAUAAGUAACCUGGCAUCUACAGGGGGAUAACUGAUGGAAACGUCAGCUAAGACCGCAUAGGUGUAGAGGUCGCAUGAACUCUAUAUGAAAAGUGCUACGGGACUGGUAGAUGAUGGACUUAUGGCGCAUUAGCUUGUUGGUAGGGUAACGGCCUACCAAGGCGACGAUGCGUAGCCGACCUGAGAGGGUGACCGGCCACACUGGGACUGAGACACGGCCCAGACUCCUACGGGAGGCAGCAGUAGGGAAUUUUCGGCAAUGGGGGAAACCCUGACCGAGCAACGCCGCGUGAAGGAAGAAGGAAUUCGUUACGUAAACUUCUGUCAUAGAGGAAGAACGGUGGAUAUAGGGAAUGAUAUCCAAGUGACGGUACUCUAUAAGAAAGCCACGGCUAACUACGUG
Molecule: ribosomal RNA, 482 nt
Filed under: uncultured bacterium
Lineage: Bacteria
Description: partial 16S ribosomal RNA
Rfam family: Bacterial small subunit ribosomal RNA
Source: RNAcentral